CCUACCACGCCGAAGACACCCAACCUCGUCUGAUUUUGGAAGUUGAGUAGAAUCAGGACUGGUUACUACUUGGAAGGGAGAUCAUCUUCUACCAUCAAGGAUUGCUAGAUGGGGCUAGGA
RNAcentral lists this ribosomal RNA (120 nucleotides) under Pogona vitticeps (central bearded dragon). Lineage: Eukaryota; Metazoa; Chordata; Lepidosauria; Squamata; Agamidae. The record is from RNAcentral.